Molecule: unclassified non-coding RNA, 143 nt
Filed under: uncultured Mortierella
Lineage: Eukaryota; Fungi; Mortierellomycota; Mortierellomycetes; Mortierellales; Mortierellaceae
Description: sequence contains ITS1
Source: RNAcentral
UAAUAAGUGUUUUAUGGCACUUUUUAAAUCCAUAUCCACCUUGUGUGCAAUGUCAGUCGAUCUUCUUGGAGAUCGACCAAACAUCAACCUUUAUCUUUUAACUCUUUGUCUGAAAAAUAUUAUGAAUAACUUAAUUCAAAAUA